RNAcentral lists this ribosomal RNA (446 nucleotides) under uncultured bacterium. RNAcentral describes it as "bacterial SSU rRNA". It matches the Rfam family "Bacterial small subunit ribosomal RNA", at positions 335 to 794 of the family's 1533-position model. The record is from RNAcentral.
ACUCCUACGGGAGGCAGCAGUGGGGAAUAUUGCGCAAUGGGCGGAAGCCUGACGCAGCGACGCCGCGUGGGGAUGACGGCCUUCGGGUUGUAAACCUCUUUCGACCGGGACGAAGAGUGAUUGACGGUACCGGUAGAAGAAGCACCGGCCAACUACGUGCCAGCAGCCGCGGUAACACGUAGGGUGCGAGCGUUAAUCGGAAUUACUGGGCGUAAAGCGUACGCAGGCGGUUUGUUAAGCGAGAUGUGAAAGCCCCGGGCUCAACCUGGGAACUGCAUUUCGAACUGGCAAACUAGAGUGUGAUAGAGGGUGGUAGAAUUUCAGGUGUAGCGGUGAAAUGCGUAGAGAUCUGAAGGAAUACCGAUGGCGAAGGCAGCCACCUGGGUCAACACUGACGCUCAUGUACGAAAGCGUGGGGAGCAAACAGGAUUAGAUACCCUGGUAGG